Molecule: transfer RNA, 26 nt
Filed under: Kaloula latidisca
Lineage: Eukaryota; Metazoa; Chordata; Amphibia; Anura; Microhylidae
Description: partial tRNA-Pro
Source: RNAcentral
UCAAGACAAGAGGAAUUAAACCUCUA